UGAGACGUAUGUAAUAGAGUCUCGAGAGCAGCCGGCAAUCAGGAUCUGUGAUCGCUUCAGGUGCGAGCGCACGGGGUAUAAGAUAUUUAAUAAUUAUGUUGUUACCUGCCUUGGUGAUUGGCUCCCCGCGGCCGUCGCGCCGCCGUCGCCCUCGCUGGCCGUGCGCACCCGGCAGGAGCUGCACUUGGCGGCGGGCGGCGUGGCGGCCAGGCUGUCGGUGCGCGAGCGCCGCACCAGGCCGGUCUGGCUCGGCGGCAGGUUCACCAGGUGGUGGUGGCGGCGCGCGCCGGGGACGCUGAUGGGGUGCGUGGCCGACGAGCCCGACGACUGGCUCUUGCUACGCGGCCGGAACUCGAAGAGCUCCUUGAGCGCCUUCAUGGCCUCCAGGAUGGUCUCGUGGAUGCUCUGCGCCACCACCGAGUCGUCGGCCUGCAUCCACAGCUCGCCGGGGCCCGUGACGGCCGAGCGGCCCACCUCGAUGAAGAAGUAGCUGUCCGAGUGGCCGCAGCGCCGUAUGUUCAUGAGCUGCAGCGUCACCGACGGCUGCUCGCAGUUGAGCUUCACGAAGCCGAUGGAGCGCGCCGAGAGGCACAGGCGGUACACGCCCGUCAGGUUCUUGCUCUGGCCCAGGCCCUUGGGCUUCAGGUUCACCUGCCACACCUCCCGGUAGGCGGCCGCGGCGGGCGCCAGCAGCCCGUAGCUGUCAUCGGCCGAGCCGCCCAGGGCGCCGGGCAGGGAGGCGCUGCAGGACGCGGCGGCGGCGGCGGCCGGGGGCGCGUCGCCGGCGGCCGCGCGGCCCUCGCUGACCAGGUCGGUGAGCGCGCGGUACCAGCCCUCCUGCUCCUGCUCGUUCUCGGCCGCCACGGCGAAGUACUCGUCCUUGGUGUAGACGGCGAUCAGAACCAUUCUCCUCCAUCUCCACGCCUAUUCUGUGGCGAGAAGAAGGCAGCAGGUGCAGUGGUUGGCAUCUGUCCUUUCAAUGGAAGCAUCUGGAUGUGACGUCAGGACAGCGGCAGGAGAGGGAGCUACAAGUCCUGCCGGCUCCACGUCGCAGGUUCUACCCUCAGAUCUCGACAACACUCCCCGCUGAGCCCCCGGUGUCUGGUGGGAGGACAGGGGCAGCACGGGGCUCCUUCCUUUGUGUGCUCUCUGCAGACAGAACCAGGGGAGAGCUGAGUACGCAGUUGAGUGAGGACAGCCGUCACCAGCUGGGAAACCGUGCACUGUGAAUGCUGAAUUAUGCACACCCCAAGGCAGGAGAAGUCGACAGGCCGUGUAAAGGGCUGGGAGGGCUUCAGGGUGACAUGAGGCUUGAGCCACUCCGUGCCCACCGUUUUGGAACUGCCUGUGGGGUCUGUCUGGGAAGCAGGUACCAUAAGCCCUCCUCUCAAAAGCAGCAUGACACUUGUUCUGUCUGCUCUCUGCAGGGCUGGCUGAGUAGCCUGGUGGAGAAGGGAACGCACUUCAGUCUCGGAGGACCACGGUUCAAGUCCCAUCUGCACCAUGUCUUGCUGUAUCACCCCAGGCAAGUACUGGGACCCCACUGGGCUUUGCUUCCCCGUUACCAAGCACCACGUGGCAUUAGAACCUGACAAUGAAAUUAUCACACUCAUCCAACACCCUCCGAGCCCUCACCCAGAGAGGCACAGCGUGAGAACCUCAGUGCAGAGACAAAGUGAUGUGGGCCUUGAUGGGCCAGGUUUUCACUUCUGUCGGAGGCUCAAGAGAAGUGGACGUGUACACACGCUUCCACUGCGGGAGGGGCCGCGAGGGGCCCUGGAGGAGCACAGGGCAGCCCCUGCCCCGGGAUGUAGGGGCUGUGGGACCUAGGAAGUACCUCCCACGUGAGAGCCUGGGGCUGGCCUGAGAGGGGAGUGAGGGAAGAUGGCGCGGACCCUAUUGGGGGCAGAGUGGCCUGGCCUGAGGUUGAGUCUGGGCUCUUGUCCCAAGAUCAGACACUGCCUGAGCAGGUCAGAAUGCUUCACCGCUCCAUUUCCAGUGUCCCAGCCUAGAAAUGGCGAGUGUGUGCACACAUGUGUGUUUGUAUGUGUGCACUCGUGUGUUGGCACAGGCUGGAGCCCUGGGCCAGAGUGUGCCACGGGAGGUACAGUCUGUGACACUUCCACUGGGUGCAGGCGUCCUGGCUGAUGAGGACCCACCCACAGAGAAAGGCGACACCGCCCCCUCCCGCGGGGACCCAGCUUUGAGGAAGUGGCAGCUCUGUGACGUCAUCGCCACGGAGGGGCCGGACCCCACCACACAGCCCUGCUCACCGGCACAGCAGGGCUCUGGGGCCGGCUGCAUUCAGAGCCACCCCGGGUGAUGCCUGCAGCAGCGGGAGGGCUCAGAGCCAUGCAGCCCCCUGGUCAGGAAAUGCCUCCCGUCUCUGCCUUUCACAUUCCCGCCACCUCCUGGGCACAGUGCAUGGUGCCAGGUGUCAGCGGGGCAGAGGGUGGCGCUGUGCUGCCCAGGGCACACCCCGCGGAUGGCCCAGGGCACACCCCGUGGAUGGCCUCACUGUUCACGAUUGUGUCGUGCACCAAGAACCCAGGGGAGAGUCCCAUGGAACAGCUGUUGUAAGCAAGACCGCCCGAGGGCUGAGGAGAAGAACCGGGGGCCAGUGCUGUGUUUGAUUCUGGGAGUGCCGCGUUUCACGGGACGGUCCUGAAGCCAGCAGACAAGGAGUCCAUGGAGCGCCCAGAGUCAGGCCACCUCUCCAGGUCUCCCAGCCCCUGACAGAGGGCUGCUGGCGGUCUGGGCCCUUCAGGGGAGGUGUGGUGCGAAUGUGGAACCAUGGUGGUUCCCGGAAGAGCCGGACUUCCAAUUUCCUUGAAAGACUGGCCCAGCUAUAAAUGCUUCUAAGUGAUUGCUCUCUGCAUGUUAAUCUCUGGGGCACGUGUUGUGUAUCUUGCCAUGGGCAAUUUGAUGGCACUGGGAUGAAUUACGAUGAGCUCCUGCUGUAGCCAGAGAGGGGACGUGGCCAGGAGAGGGGGGCGGGACUGGGCAGCUGAGGGUGGGAAGGGAAGGAUUCUGGUUCCUUUGCACUAAAACCAUGGUCAUGAAAGGACAGGGACCCCGCCAGCUGUGAGAUCGCCGAAGUUCUGAAUGCCCACAGGUCCUGUCCUAGUGUCUGUCACUGCCCACCGUUCUCAGCCCGCUGACUGAUUCCUGCAUCCUCUCUCCUCAGCUCCAGUGGGGGCCACCCAGCAGGGCACAGAUGCCUGCCCUGGGCGCUCUCGCAACCAGUGAGCCCCACACGCUGGCUGAGGGUGGCCAUGGUCAGCAAGUCCCUGCAGUGUGUGUGUUUGGGGGCAGCAAAGCCACACAGACUUCAGAGGGGCUGCACGGCUCUUGUGUGCAGAGCACGGCGGGGCCCCAGCUCCCUGGUUGCUCUCUGAAGACGAGGUCCUGACAGCUUAGUGCAUGAUACAAAGAAUAAAGGCCUUUUCCACUGAUUGCUCUCA
This is a long non-coding RNA of Oryctolagus cuniculus (rabbit), 3464 nucleotides long. NCBI's taxonomy places the organism in Eukaryota, Metazoa, Chordata, Mammalia, Lagomorpha, Leporidae. The record is from Ensembl.